UGCAAGUCCAACGAACCCGAGACUUCCGUCUCAUGGGAAAGUGGCGAACGGGUGAGUAACACGUGAGAAACCUACCCCGGAGAUGGGAAUAGCCCAGGGAAACCUGGAUUAAUACCCGAUACCCUGCCUGCACCUCAUGGUGUGUUCAGGAAACGCUCCGGUGCUCCGGGAGGGUCUCGCGGCCUAUCAGCUUGUUGGUGAGGUAACGGCUCACCAAGGCAUCGACGGGUAGCUGGUCUGAGAGGUCGAUCACCCACACUGGGACUGAGACACGGCCCACACUCCUACGGGAGGCAGCAGGAGGGAAUAUUGCGCAGUGGGCGAAAGCCUGACGCAGCGACCCCGCGUGGGGGAAGAAGGCCUUCGGGUCGUAAACCCCUUUCAGCAGGGACGAAAUUGACGGUACCUGCAAAAGAAGCGCCGGCCAACUACGUGCCAGCAGCCGCGGUAAUACGUAGGGCGCAAGCGUUGUCCGGAUUCAUUGGGCGUAAAGGGCUCGUAGGCGGUUUGGUAAGUCGGGUGUGAAAACUCAGGGCUCAACUCUGAGACGCCACUCGAUACUGCCAUGACUAGAGUCCGGUAGGGGAGUGUAGAAUUCCUGGUGUAGCGGUGAAAUGCGCAUAUAUCAGGAGGAAUACCGAUAGCGAAGGCAGCACUCUGGGCCGGUACUGACGCUGAGGAGCGAAAGCGUGGGGAGCAAACAGGAUUAGAUACCCUGGUAGUCCACGCCGUAAACGUUGGGCACUAGGUGUGGGUCCCAUCCAACGGGAUCCGUGCCGUAUCUAACGCAUUAAGUGCCCCGCCUGG
Molecule: ribosomal RNA, 807 nt
Filed under: uncultured bacterium
Lineage: Bacteria
Description: bacterial SSU rRNA
Rfam family: Bacterial small subunit ribosomal RNA
Source: RNAcentral